Molecule: ribosomal RNA, 253 nt
Filed under: uncultured bacterium
Lineage: Bacteria
Description: partial 16S ribosomal RNA
Rfam family: Bacterial small subunit ribosomal RNA
Source: RNAcentral
GACAGAGGUGCCGAGCGUUAGGCGGAAUCACUGGGCUUAAAGCGUGUGUAGGCGGGUCGUUAAGUGUCUUGUGAAAUCCCACCGCUCAACGGUGGAACCGCUGGGCAUACUGGCGAUCUUGAGCAGUCCAGGGGCGAGCGGAACAAGCGGUGGAGCGGUGAAAUGCGUAGAUAUUCGGAAGAACACCAGUGGCGAAGGCGACUCACUGGCCCGUUACUGACGCUGAGGCGCGAAAGCGUGGGGAGCAAACAGG